UGACGACCAUAUCAUGUUUAAACACCAGUUCCCGUACGAUCACCGAAGGUAAGCAACGUCGAACCUGGUCAGUACCUAGAUGGGUGCCCACUUAGGAAUAACAGGGGCUGUU
Acanthosepion pharaonis is the source of this 112-nucleotide non-coding RNA. The record is from the annotation of a GenBank genome assembly. NCBI's taxonomy places the organism in Eukaryota, Metazoa, Mollusca, Cephalopoda, Sepiida, Sepiidae.